Rhincodon typus (whale shark) is the source of this 739-nucleotide long non-coding RNA. RefSeq lists it as uncharacterized. The transcript has 2 exons. NCBI's taxonomy places the organism in Eukaryota, Metazoa, Chordata, Chondrichthyes, Orectolobiformes, Rhincodontidae. The record is from RefSeq and is a predicted model, not a curated record.
UGAAUGACUGGAAGCGGAAUGUUCCACGUUACAAAACACUUCACAGAGUCUUGCUUCCUGGAAUCUUGAUUUGAAAGUACAAUCUAGGGUCACAUUGUUAGCAUAUCUUUUAUAUUUCCUGCUAUUUGUGAUUAGUUCAAAUCGUCACCGUAAAGAAAUGGAGUUCAUUCUCUCUCAGGAAGAAAAAGAACGUUUGCCAAAAGAUUGUGCAGUAGCAGCAAGUGUGUAAAAUGUUCAGAAUCCAAUAUCUCAGUGUUGAUCCACUUCCCAGCGUUCAGUGUGACCGAGUGAGAAUGUUUCGAAGCGUCCAGACAGCAAUCAGCUGGUUCCGUGUUAUAACAGGGCGAUGCGAUGGCUGCUGGUGUGAACGGACUCGGUGGAAGGAACCCUUUUUGCGCUAGCUUUACUUAGACCGAUACUCCCAAAUUUGGACGACCGCUCGCAGCAUUCUUAGCAAGACAAAUGUCUCAUUUGGGCCUGAAAAUUAUGUAGAUUAACAACCUGAAGGCCUUUUGUAACUCAUCAAUGAUGCUCUGCUUCAUUGUUUGCUAGUUCGAUUCAUUGGCAGAUGACAAAAUAUAACCUCACUCAAGUUUACGGAGAAGUAAUCUGAAAAUAAUCUAACGAAAAUGUUCCGACAAUUAAAUAUGAUAGCUAAUUAUCAACUACAGAUGUCAGCACUUAUUACAGCUAAAAAUUAAUGCCUUGUCCAAUAAAUAGCAAACUGCUCUGUGUGUGA